UAAAAAAAGUCCUUAAAAAAAAAAAAAAAGGCUUCUCUUUUGUGCUAUGUGCCCUGCACUGCUGACACGGAAGGAAGACUUUAAGAUUGCAUUUGAUUUAGUUAGUUAGUUAGUUAGUUAGUUAGUUAGUUAGUUAAAUUGUUUUGUUUUGUUGGAAACAGGGUUUCUAUGUGUAGCUUUGGCUGUCCUGGAACCAGCGCUGUGGAAGAGGCUGGCCUCAAACUUGUAGAGAUUCGUCUGUUUCCGCUUCCCCAAUGCUGAGAUUAAAGACAUGCACCACAACUGCCUAGCUUUCGACUUUAAAACUUGUUUUAAAGGGCUAAAUCUGUGUUUUCUAUUUCCAUGAACAUUUAUUUAGGCUUUGCAGAGAAAAUAUUUUCAUUAUUUUCCCUCAGAAGUUUACUGAAUGCUCUAAAUCCACAUGAAUUUUUCUCAUCCACCAACUAGGUCUCUGCUUGUUUGUUUUUCCUUCUGCGUGCCCUUUAAGCGUGGAUUGGUUUAACAGGAAGACGAUGUGAAUUCCCUUGAAAAUAAGAUGCUUAAUAUUUGGCAUUCGUAAGCGUUUCAUUACUGUUUAUAACUUGUGGCCUUGACUUGUUCUGAAUGAUGAUCAAGAAAAGAUAGAGAGAAAAACAAGUACCUUUGCUCAAGUGAAACAACAUCGCCUUUCGUCUUUAAUAAUUCUUUAUUGGGUUUUAUUAAAUAUAUGUGUAGUUUUGAUCAACACAAUACUAUAUAGUCAUAAUAUUACUUUCUACUGGUAUUAAUAGUAAAUAAAUAUAAUUAAAUUUAGAAAAUAAUCACAAAACCAUAGGUCAGUAAAAAUAUUUUAAUUGAAAUUUCAGUUUACAUAUAUAUGUGCAAUGACAUACCAUAAGGAAGUUAAUGGAAUAGUUUUGAGUAUAGCUGUAGAAAAGUAUAACAAUUAGCAAAAAAAUCCAGAGGAGAAUAAAAGAACGGAAUGAAGAGUCUAAAGAGAACAAGAAAUGAUACUAUUUUCUAAAAGUUAAAUUUAAAUACUUUUACAACCUGGUAAGUAGGCGUCUCUAAGCCCUUGGUGUAUAGAUGUUCAGAGACGGUGCUGAUAGGCUGUGCUUCUAUGUCAUUUGCAUAAAUCCCAUAAUCCCCACGAAGAGUGGGGUUGACAUAACUUGCUUAUAGCAUUUACAGCAAAAGUGGAAAAAUUUCCAAGACGAGGUUACAAAAAACCCUUUAACGAAUGUCCUCUUGUUCAUCCCCAUUCUUUCUCUCUGUCUCUCUGUCUCUCUUCCUCUCUCUCCCUCUCCCUCUCCCUCUCUCUCUCUGAGAAAAGCCAUUUGACACAUCGUGAACUACCUUCUGUGGUGGGUAACUGGGGAUGUCUCUGGCCAUUAGCCCACAGGAAGGGAAUCCAACCAACAAUGACGUGCAUGAGCCAAGGCGGUCUUGUCAAGCUUUCAGAUGCUAUCACGACGGAACUGUAAAGGAGCCCAUCAUCAUGACCUUGUGCUUCAGCUGAGUUGAGCUUGCAGACGUGGUGUCUACUUAGCAUCUCUCCUGCCACCCAGACAAGGCUGGACAGUCAACACGAACAGCCAAUGGCUGAAAGGAGACCUGAAGGAGCCUGGCAUGGCUGUCCUCUGCAAGGUUCUGCCAGCGCCUGACCGAAACAGAUGCAGAUGCUUACCAUCUGCAACCAUCGGACUGAGCCCGGGAACCCCAAUGGAAGAGUUAGGGGAAGGACUAAAGGAGCUGAAGGGGUUUGCAACCCCAUAGGAAGAACAACAAUAUCAUCCAACCAGUUCCCCCCUCCUGAGCUCCUAGGGACUAAACCACCAACCAAUCAGUACACAUGGAGGGACCCAUGGCUCCAGAUGCAUAUGUACCAGAGGAUGGCAUUGUCUGGCCUCAGUGAGAGGGCAUGCACUUGGACCUGUGAGGACCUCUGGGGCUUGAUGUUCCAGAGAAAGGGAA
Molecule: non-coding RNA, 1953 nt
Organism: Rattus norvegicus (Norway rat)
Lineage: Eukaryota; Metazoa; Chordata; Mammalia; Rodentia; Muridae
Source: RefSeq, a predicted model, not a curated record